RNAcentral lists this ribosomal RNA (301 nucleotides) under uncultured bacterium. RNAcentral's name for it is "partial 16S ribosomal RNA". It matches the Rfam family "Bacterial small subunit ribosomal RNA", at positions 509 to 808 of the family's 1533-position model. The record is from RNAcentral.
CAGUCGCCGCGGGAAUACGUAGGUCCCGAGCGUUGUCCGGAUUUAUUGGGCGUAAAGCGAGCGCAGGCGGUUAGAUAAGUCUGAAGUUAAAGGCUGUGGCUUAACCAUAGUACGCUUUGGAAACUGUUUAACUUGAGUGCAAGAGGGGAGAGUGGAACUCCAUGUGUAGCGGUGAAAUGCGUAGAUAUAUGGAGGAACACCGGUGGCGAAAGCGGCUCUCUGGUCUGUAACUGACGCUGAGGCUCGAAAGCGUGGGGAGCAAACAGGAUUAGAUACCCGCGUAGUCCCUGUCUCUUAUACA